Molecule: ribosomal RNA, 425 nt
Filed under: uncultured bacterium
Lineage: Bacteria
Description: bacterial SSU rRNA
Rfam family: Bacterial small subunit ribosomal RNA
Source: RNAcentral
UCGGGAAUUUUGGGCAAUGGGCGAAAGCCUGACCCAGCAACGCCGCGUGAAGGAUGAAGUAUUUCGGUAUGUAAACUUCGAAAGAAUAGGAAGAAUUAAUGACGGUACUAUUUAUAAGGUCCGGCUAACUACGUGCCAGCAGCCGCGGUAAUACGUAGGGACCAAGCGUUGUUCGGAUUUACUGGGCGUAAAGGGCGCGUAGGCGGCGCUGUAAGUCACUUGUGAAAUCUCCGAGCUUAACUCGGAACGGUCAAGUGAUACUGCAGUGCUAGAGUGCGGAAGGGGCAAUCGGAAUUCUUGGUGUAGCGGUGAAAUGCGUAGAUAUCAAGAGGAACACCUGAGGUGAAGACGGGUUGCUGGGCCGACACUGACGCUGACAGCGCGAAAGCCAGGGGAGCAAACGGGAUUAGAUACCCCCGUAGUCC